This 406-nucleotide ribosomal RNA is filed under the name uncultured bacterium. Its description in RNAcentral is "partial 16S ribosomal RNA". It matches the Rfam family "Bacterial small subunit ribosomal RNA", at positions 30 to 526 of the family's 1533-position model. The record is from RNAcentral.
AUUGAACGCUGGCGGCAGGCCUAACACAUGCAAGUCGAACGAGUGGCGGAGGGGUGAGUAAUGUCUGGGAAACUGCCUGAUGGAGGGGGAUAACUACUGGAAACGGUAGCUAAUACCGCAUACCAUCAGAUGUGCCCAGAGGGGUGUAGGUAGUUGGUGGGGUAGCGGGUCACCAGGGCGAGGAUCCGUAACUGGUCUGAGAGGAUGAUCAGGCACACUGGAACUGAGACACGGUCCAGACUCCUACGGGAGUCAGCAGUGGGGAAUAUUGGACAAUGGGCGAAAGCCUGAUCCAGCCAUGCCGCGUGUGUGAAGAAGGUCUUCGGAUUGUAAAGCACUUUAAGUUGGUCGGCGGUACCAACAGAAUAAGCACCGGCUAACUUCGUGCCAGCCGCCGCGGUAAUUC